GAUGAACGCUGGCGGCGUGCCUAAUACAUGCAAGUCGAGCGAACAGACGAGGAGCUUGCUCCUCUGACGUUAGCGGCGGACGGGUGAGUAACACGUGGAUAACCUACCUAUAAGACUGGGAUAACUUCGGGAAACCGGAGCUAAUACCGGAUAACAUGUUGAACCGCAUGGUUCAACAGUGAAAGACGGUCUUGCUGUCACCUAUAGAUGGAUCCGCGCCGCAUUAGCUAGUUGGUAAGGUAACGGCUUACCAAGGCAACGAUGCGUAGCCGACCUGAGAGGGUGAUCGGCCACACUGGAACUGAGACACGGUCCAGACUCCUACGGGAGGCAGCAGUAGGGAAUCUUCCGCAAAGGGCGAAAGCCUGACGGAGCAACGCCGCGUGAGUGAAGAAGGUCUUCGGAUCGUAAAACUCUGCUAUUAGGGAAGAACAAAUGUGUAAGUAACUAUGCACGUCUUGACGGUACCUAAUCAGAAAGCCACGGCUAACUACGUG
Molecule: ribosomal RNA, 497 nt
Filed under: uncultured bacterium
Lineage: Bacteria
Description: partial 16S ribosomal RNA
Rfam family: Bacterial small subunit ribosomal RNA
Source: RNAcentral